This 298-nucleotide ribosomal RNA is filed under the name Stenotrophomonas maltophilia. Its description in RNAcentral is "partial 16S ribosomal RNA". It matches the Rfam family "Bacterial small subunit ribosomal RNA", at positions 1237 to 1533 of the family's 1533-position model. Lineage: Bacteria; Pseudomonadati; Pseudomonadota; Gammaproteobacteria; Lysobacterales; Lysobacteraceae. The record is from RNAcentral.
GGACAGAGGGCUGCAAGCCGGCGACGGUAAGCCAAUCCCAGAAACCCUAUCUCAGUCCGGAUUGGAGUCUGCAACUCGACUCCAUGAAGUCGGAAUCGCUAGUAAUCGCAGAUCAGCAUUGCUGCGGUGAAUACGUUCCCGGGCCUUGUACACACCGCCCGUCACACCAUGGGAGUUUGUUGCACCAGAAGCAGGUAGCUUAACCUUCGGGAGGGCGCUUGCCACGGUGUGGCCGAUGACUGGGGUGAAGUCGUAACAAGGUAGCCGUAUCGGAAGGUGCGGCUGGAUCACCUCCUUU